UUUCAGAAGAGGUCAUUCUUUUUUAUUCAAGAAUCCAUAAUCUUUGUUAAUUGCUUUUUCAUUUGCUAUUUUUUCCGUCUAUUUUGACAUCUGGGGUUACAUAAGGUACGUUUUCUCAAGGCUUUUGUAUUCCGUAACUACUACGACAGUUAGAAACUCGUUUCAACUUCUUUUGUACUUUGAGGCUUGUACUUGAGGGUUGUUCGUGUGUAUCUAGAUUGUUGUGGUAGUGGGGUUUACAACUGCUUUUGAAUUCUUAUUUUAUGUGGUUUCAAAUUCAUGUUUUUCUGUUUGGGGAUUGUGUUUAUAUAUUUUUAAUUUUUUAUAAAGUUUUCAAUUGCUUUUGUAAUUUCCAUUCAAUACUAGAUUACUACAACACUUGUUUCAAUUUCUCUUGUACUUUGAGGCUUGUGCUUGAGGGUUGAUCCUGUGUAUCAGGUUCUUGUACCGGGAAUUGCUUUAGCUUAUGACUUCUCCUUUGUAUAGCUUUUUACGUUUUUUAACAAUGGUGUUGCACCUUUUUUUAAAAUGUUUGAUUGCUUUUGUAUAUCCCACUACUUGAAUACCCGAACAGUCUUUUCAACUUACCCUGUACUUUGAGGCUUGUACUUGACCGUUGAUCUUGUGUUUGAAGGUUCUUGUAGUGGAGAUUGCUUUAGCUUUUGACUCCUCCCACUUUCUGUGGCUUUGGCUUUUUUGGCAUGAGUUUUGUUCCAGUCAUCCAAAUAUUAGGUGACAGAUUGUGACUUUGGAUUCUUCAGGCUGUUCUGUUGAAUUUAUGAGACCAAUGGACGGGUCAUGGCCCAACAGGAAAAGGAUGUUUAUAUUUGAUAUCUUAGUGUAUGAUGUCAGGAUAUGUGGGUAAUGCUUGUUUGCAGAACGAGAUAAAGUAGGUGACAGGGGCGGGUACUGGUAGAUGUAAAUCAAGGUACAGGUUGCUAGUUGAUUCGCCCAUUUUGAUGGUUCCUAUUUCUCCAUUGUGUCAACUAUAUUUACCUUGAUCUCGAAUGUUCAGAUCUUUUAGUUGGUUGCCGGUUCUGUUAUAUGCAUGAUCAAUAGGAUGUCCUUGUUCCCUCAUUGCUGGCUCUCCUGUACAUCAGUAUGGUAGGAGUGCAGAUGAUGGAUUUGCCUGAGCAUACUAUUGGAGUUCAAUUGAAGAACAUAAGUAGUUCUAUAUCUUUCGAUAUGAAUCUCUUCAAGUCACUUGGCAUUUGUGAUUUUGUGGCGUGUCCAAGGUAAAAAGAAUUUGGAAGCCAUAUUGCGUGCUUUCCUUUUCAAUUACAAAGUUGUGGGUUCUGUUUGUUAUGAGAUUGCUGGACAUUGGGUUGUAAUUGCAUAGCAACUUGGAUGGGUAUAUCUAUCAUCAACCUAGAGAUUAUAGGUGUGAAAUUUUGUAUUUCUGUUUUUUCAUGGUCAUUUUGGCUUCUUUCAAAGUUCAUGAUGACUAGGAUGUCCAUCUUCCCUCAUUGCAGGCUCCCUUGUACAUCAAUACAGUUAAGUAUCUAAACCAUGACCUCCUAUCAGUUCUUCAUUUACUUUGUAAAGUUAGGCAGUAAAGAUACUUAUUUGCUGGAUACUUGGAUGGAUAUUUGGUGGUUUAAUUUACAUCAGAUAUAGCUGGUUUUGUUAGUUUUUUAAAAUUUUUGUUUUUUGUGUCAGAUUUUGUAGGCCUUCAUUGUGUAUAGCAGUUGUAUCUAAGACAGUAAUAGGGUUAUUUCUUUUAGUUUUUCUUUUAAUAAUAGUAGUUUUUAAGAGUAGUGUAGUAGACAUUAGUAACUAAAGUUCAAAUAUUGCAAAUACUUUAGCAAAAUGUAUUCUACUAGACAUCAUGAGCUUUAAAAGCUCAAAAAGCCUCAUAGUAUACAUAAGCGCUGUAACUUCUCAGGCCGAGCCAUCAAAGACUUGCUCUCAGCUUGUUAAAUAUUCCGGACUUGAUCUAAAAAAGCUCGGGAUUGGGCUCGAGCUCUAGUUACUCGAUAAAAGCUUGACUUGGUGCAGCUGUAAUGACAAGCUAGGUGGCCAUGAGGACAAGCUGGGAAGUCGUGUUGCAUCAAUAGAGAACAUGGUGCAUAACUUAAUAGACUUUGGUCAGUUGGUGAGAAACCAUUGUGAGCGGUGUACUGUAAACAUGACUGUCGUCAUCACUGCUGCCAAUAGAAUCAUCAUGAAAGCUGGACCAUAAUGAAUCAAAGGAGUUGAUUUUAGUGGUUGGAAGAGGGAAACUGGCAGAAGCGGAGCAUCUAGGUGUAAUUAGUAAUACUGAUAGCAAGGACGAGAGUGAGAUCUGAUGGCGUCGGGGGCCAUUAUUGGAGCAUUGAAGGACUUGUACAUAUAACCUUUGUGGCUCUUACAUUCUUACAUUAUGAGCUUGAAUCUUGAGCUUUGUCAUGGUUGCUUUCCAAGCCCUUCUCUGCAAUCCAAAGAGUUGAAAUAUGGCUUAGCUGGUGGAACUGGAUUCUUGUUUGGACCAAAUCAUUCUCGAAAUUGGGUGAUUCAUUCGAAAUUGGGUGAUUCGUGAAAUUCUCACUAGCUUUACAUCCAGUACAUAUCAAGAUCACUUGACUGAAAAGCUGGGCAGGUUUCUUUUUGCAGAAAGUCGAGCCUGCAAUGCAGUGGGAAUGACAAUCUUGUCAAAUAAGGUAGUUCCGGAAGAAGAAACUAGGCUUGGUUGAUUUGAAGUGUUGAUAUUAAAGUUGCUAGGCUUGUGGAAGGUAUUUUGGCCAUUCUUGGAAGAAUGGAGUUGUUAGAAACCUAGUUCAUCCCUCCUCAUAUGGCUCUUGGUACAUAAUGUGUCGUUUUGAAUGAAUGUAUUGUAAUGCCCUAACUUUUGAGUCUUAGAACUUGUAAGUUUGUAGUUGGCAUUGAGUCAAAUGUGUGUUUUGACAACUUGGGUAGUUUGGGCAAUUGACCCAUUUGAAGGUUCUUGUAAGUGCAAAUUGUUUAUGGAAGGUAAAUUACAUUGUAAGGGUGUUUUUAUAUGAUUUGAAGUCUUAGUUAUGGUUUUAAAA
Molecule: long non-coding RNA, 3008 nt
Organism: Erigeron canadensis
Lineage: Eukaryota; Viridiplantae; Streptophyta; Magnoliopsida; Asterales; Asteraceae
Exons: 12
Source: RefSeq, a predicted model, not a curated record